GCAGCCGCCGCGGUAAUACGUAGGGUGCGAGCGUUAAUCGGAAUUACUGGGCGUAAAGCGCACGUAGGCGGCUUGGUAAGUUAGAGGUGAAAGCCCAGGGCUCAACCCUGGAAUUGCCUUUAAGACUGCCGAGCUAGUAGGUGAGAGAGGUAAGUGGAAUUCCGAGUGUAGAGGUGAAAUUCGUAGAUAUUCGGAAGAACGCCAGUGGCGAAGGCGGCUUACUGGCUCAUUCUAGACGCUGAGGUGCGAAAGCGUGGGGAGCAAACAGGAUUAGAUACCCGAGUAGUCCCUGUCUCUUAUAC
RNAcentral lists this ribosomal RNA (302 nucleotides) under uncultured bacterium. RNAcentral describes it as "partial 16S ribosomal RNA". It matches the Rfam family "Bacterial small subunit ribosomal RNA", at positions 508 to 807 of the family's 1533-position model. The record is from RNAcentral.